RNAcentral lists this long non-coding RNA (726 nucleotides) under Phascolarctos cinereus (koala). Its description in RNAcentral is "lncRNA (ENSPCIG00000016786.2)". Lineage: Eukaryota; Metazoa; Chordata; Mammalia; Diprotodontia; Phascolarctidae. The record is from RNAcentral.
CAUUUUUCUUCCUGAUAACCUUUUACUAAUGAAGCGCCAGGGCUGAGAAGAGACCAUUUACAAAUGGUGAAUCAUUAGAAACAGAUUUGUGGGCGGGAUGGAUUUUCCAGCAGAGCAUCACUUCUGAGAACACUCUCCUCUGCUAAAAGGAGGAGAAAGGGAACGAGAGCCUCCACGUGGGGAAAAAAGUAGGAGAAAGCCAUGUUAUGAUAUUGAUGUUUUGGGGGAAGGGAAGGGAGAGAGAAGACUAAUAACCCCAUUGAAGACUUUCCUCCAUCUAAUGAGAGUUACUUUAUACAUCAUCAGGACAUACUGCAAUCCUGGCAGGCAGGCAGAACAAGGAAGUGCUGCUGAGGAAAAACCAGAGGUCUUCCAUGACAAUCAAUCCGUUGGAAAGUACUUGGCAAACAGAAGCAGUGGCAGCCUCAGCCUCGGAGGCAUCCCGUACGUCCUGGCCAGCCCAGUUUACGCCAUGGAACAGAGGGAAAAUCCACCGAGGUUGCGAUCCAAAAGGGCUCAAGGGAUGCUGCAUCGAGCACUAUAUUAGCUUUGCUUUGAUGGAGAAGUUAGAAGGAUACUAUAAUAUCAUCAUACACACAUUAUGAGACAUUGUCCAUUUUAUACUUUCCAAGACACAGAUUGUGAGUUCUUGAGAGAGGGACCAUAUAUUUCUCUGAUUCAAUUUAAUUUCAUUCAAUAAAUGAACUGAAUGCCUAUUGUCUGCCA